AUUGAACGCUGGCGGCAGGCCUAACACAUGCAAGUCGAGCGGAUGAAGGGAGCUUGCUCCUGGAUUCAGCGGCGGACGGGUGAGUAAUGCCUAGGAAUCUGCCUGGUAGUGGGGGAUAACGUCCGGAAACGGGCGCUAAUACCGCAUACGUCCUGAGGGAGAAAGUGGGGGAUCUUCGGACCUCACGCUAUCAGAUGAGCCUAGGUCGGAUUAGCUAGUUGGUGGGGUAAAGGCCUACCAAGGCGACGAUCCGUAACUGGUCUGAGAGGAUGAUCAGUCACACUGGACCUAGACACCGGCCCAGCCCCCUCGGGAAGGCAGCGGUGGGAAAUAUUGAACAAUGGCGGAAAGCCUGAUCCGGCCAGGCGGGGUGUGUGAGAAGGUCUUCGGAUUGUAAAGCACUUUAAGUUGGGAGGAAGGGCAGUAAGUUAAUACCUUGCUGUUUUGACGUUACCAACAGAAUAAGCACCGGCUAACUUCGUG
RNAcentral lists this ribosomal RNA (483 nucleotides) under uncultured bacterium. RNAcentral's name for it is "partial 16S ribosomal RNA". It matches the Rfam family "Bacterial small subunit ribosomal RNA", at positions 30 to 507 of the family's 1533-position model. The record is from RNAcentral.